UGGGGAAUCUUGGACAAUGGGGGCAACCCUGAUCCAGCCAUGCCGCGUGAGUGAUGAAGGCCUUAGGGUCGUAAAGCUCUUUCGCCUGUGAAGAUAAUGACGGUAGCAGGUAAAGAAACCCCGGCUAACUCCGUGCCAGCAGCCGCGGUAAUACGGAGGGGGCUAGCGUUGUUCGGAAUUACUGGGCGUAAAGCGCGCGUAGGCGGAUUGUUAAGUCGGGGGUGAAAUCCCGGGGCUCAACCCGGAACUGCUCCAAAACUAUUGGUCUAGAGUUCGAGAGAGGUGAGUGGAAUUCCAAGUGUAGAGGUGAAAUUCGUAGAUAUUUGGAGGAACACCAGUGGCGAAGGCGGCUCACUGGCUCGAUACUGACGCUGAGGUGCGAAAGUGUGGGGAGCAAACAGGAUUAGAUACCCUGGUAGUCCACACCGUAAACGAUGAAUGCCAGUCGUCGGGUAGCAUGCUAUUCGGUGACACACCUAA
Molecule: ribosomal RNA, 480 nt
Filed under: uncultured bacterium
Lineage: Bacteria
Description: bacterial SSU rRNA
Rfam family: Bacterial small subunit ribosomal RNA
Source: RNAcentral